GCAACUUGGGAGGAAUGUAAGGGGAAACCGGUAAAAAGGAAAUGUACUCUGUAGUAUUAGAAAAUAAUAUGAUAUUAACUAAGUUAAUUAAAAUUCAAAGUAGAUAUGUGAUUAUGACAGUAUUUGCUUAUUUCUUGACAAAGUCACGUGCCAGCAGUCGCGGUAAUACGUGGUAGAUUAGUGUUAUUCAUCUUUAUUAGGUUUAAAGGGUACCUAGACGGUUAAUUAAGCAUACAAGUGUACUAAUUUAACUAGAGUUUAAUGUAAGAAGGAUUGAGUACGGUGAGAGUAGAGAUAAAAUUCUGUGAUACCACUUAGGAACUGGUAAAGGCGAAGGCAACCUUUUAUGUAAAAACUGACGUUAAGGGACGAAGGCUCGUAUUAAGUAACAGGAUUAGAGACCCUAGUAUUGUGGGCAGACAAUGAUGAGUGUCAUAUGCAAGAAAUAUUUUUGUGUAUAAAUGAAAGUGUAAGCACUCCACCUCAAGAGUAACGUGGCAACAUGGGAACUGAAAUCAUUAGACCGUUUCUGAAACUCGUAGUGAAGUAUGUUGUUUAAUUUGAUGAUCCACAAAUAACCUUACCACAAUUUGUAUGACUAAAGAGGUAUAACAAGAGUAAAUUUUGUCCGUUAGUUACAAGCGUUGCACGGCUGUCUUCAGUUAAUGUUGUGAAACUUUGGUUAGAUCCAUUAAAUUGACGUAAACCCUUGCUUUUUUUAUUAUAAAGCAGUUCGCCGCUAUAUUGGUAGUGAUAUAAGGGACUAAGACAAGUCAUCAUGACCUGAACAUUGUGGGCUAUA
Molecule: ribosomal RNA, 802 nt
Filed under: Diorygma karnatakense
Lineage: Eukaryota; Fungi; Ascomycota; Lecanoromycetes; Ostropales; Graphidaceae
Description: SSU rRNA
Rfam family: Bacterial small subunit ribosomal RNA
Source: RNAcentral